CCACACGAAGCUGGAAUCGCUAGUAAUCGCGAAUCAGAAUGUCGCGGUGAAUACGUUCCCGGGCCUUGUACACACCGCCCGUCACACCAUGAGAGCCGGUAAUACCCGAAGUCAGUAUCCUAACCGCAAGGAGGGAGCUGCCGAAGGUAGGAUUGGCGAUUGGGGUGAAGUCGUAACAAGGUAAC
Molecule: ribosomal RNA, 185 nt
Filed under: uncultured bacterium
Lineage: Bacteria
Description: partial 16S ribosomal RNA
Rfam family: Bacterial small subunit ribosomal RNA
Source: RNAcentral